This 336-nucleotide ribosomal RNA is filed under the name uncultured bacterium. RNAcentral describes it as "bacterial SSU rRNA". It matches the Rfam family "Bacterial small subunit ribosomal RNA", at positions 1 to 334 of the family's 1533-position model. The record is from RNAcentral.
CUAGCGACUUCAGAGUUUGAUCCUGGCUCAGGAUGAACGCUGGCGGCGUGCCUAACACAUUCAAGUCGAACGGUGAAGUACCUUCGGGUGCGGAUCAGUGGCGGACGGGUGAGUAACGCGUGAGCAACCUGCCUUUCAAAGCGGGAUAACGGCUGGAAACGGACGCUAAUACCGCAUGAUGUAUGCGAGACGCAUGUUUUGCAUACCAAAGAUUUAUCGAUGAAAGAUGGGCUCGCGUCUGAUUAGAUAGUUGGUGAGGUAACGGCUCACCAAGUCGACGAUCGGUAGCCGGACUGAGAGGUUGAACGGCCACAUUGGAACUGAGAUACGGUCCAG